Molecule: non-coding RNA, 73 nt
Organism: Podarcis lilfordi (Lilford's wall lizard)
Lineage: Eukaryota; Metazoa; Chordata; Lepidosauria; Squamata; Lacertidae
Source: the annotation of a GenBank genome assembly
GAUUAUUUAGCUCAGCCAGUAGACCACGAGACUCUUAAUCUCAGGGUUGUGGAUUCGAGCCUCACACUGAACA